This 236-nucleotide long non-coding RNA is filed under the name Hordeum vulgare. Its description in RNAcentral is "long non-coding RNA (HVUL_LNC012562)". The record is from RNAcentral. Lineage: Eukaryota; Viridiplantae; Streptophyta; Magnoliopsida; Poales; Poaceae.
AAACACAAAGUAAACAGUAGCAGUCCAUCAAUGCUGGCUUCCAUAAAUUCCAUAUUCCAUGAAGUGAAUCAAAUAUGCAAAAUGAAAAUAAGAAAGUCAGAAGAAGAAGAAGAAUAAAACUAGAAUAAUAAUAAUAAUAAUAAGAAAACUAGAAGAAGAAGAAGAGGAGGAGGAAGAAGAAGAAGAAGAAGAAGGAGAAGAAGAAGAAGAAGAAGAAGAACAAGAAGAAGAAGGAU